RNAcentral lists this ribosomal RNA (256 nucleotides) under uncultured bacterium. Its description in RNAcentral is "partial 16S ribosomal RNA". It matches the Rfam family "Bacterial small subunit ribosomal RNA", at positions 524 to 776 of the family's 1533-position model. The record is from RNAcentral.
UACGGAGGGUGCGAGCGUUGUCCGGAAUCAUUGGGCGUAAAGGGCGCGUAGGUGGCCCGGUCAGUCUUUGGUGAAAGCGCGGGGCUCAACCCUGCGUCGGCCAGGGAUACUGCCGCGGCUCGAGCACUGUAGAGGCAGGCGGAAUUCCGGGUAUAGCGGUGGAAUGCGUAGAGAUCCGGAAGAACACCGGUGGCGAAGGCGGCCUGCUGGGCAGUUUAGCUGACACUGAGGCGCGACAGCGUGGGGAGCAAACAGG